RNAcentral lists this ribosomal RNA (253 nucleotides) under uncultured bacterium. Its description in RNAcentral is "partial 16S ribosomal RNA". It matches the Rfam family "Bacterial small subunit ribosomal RNA", at positions 524 to 776 of the family's 1533-position model. The record is from RNAcentral.
UACGGGGGGUGCGAGCGUUGUCCGGAAUCACUGGGCGUAAAGGGCGCGUAGGUGGUUUGAUAAGGGUGUGGUGAAAGUCCGGGGCUCAACUCCGGAUCUGCCGUGCCGACUGUCAAACUCGAGGGCUGUAGAGGCAGACGGAAUUCCGGGUGUAGCGGUGAAAUGCGCAGAUAUCGGGAGGAACACCAAUUGCGAAGGCAGCUCGCUGGGACGUUACUGACGCUGAGACGCGAAAGCGUGGGGAGCAAACAGG